RNAcentral lists this ribosomal RNA (431 nucleotides) under uncultured bacterium. RNAcentral describes it as "partial 16S ribosomal RNA". It matches the Rfam family "Bacterial small subunit ribosomal RNA", at positions 29 to 507 of the family's 1533-position model. The record is from RNAcentral.
AACGAACGCUGGCGGCAGGCUUAACGCAUGCAAGUCGAACGCCCCGCAAGGGGAUUGGCAGACGGGUGAGUAACGCGUGGGGACAUACCCUUUUCUAUGAACUAGCUCUGGGAAACGGGAAUUAAUACCGUAUACGCCCUACGGGGGAAAGAUUUAUCGGGGAAGGAUUGGCGCGCGUUGGAUUUGCUGGGGGGGGGGGUAGAGGCCUACCAAGGCGACGAUCCAUAGCUGUGCUGAGAGCAUGAGAAUCCACAUUGGGACUGAGACACGGCCCACACUCCUAGGGGACGCAGCGGUGGGGAAUAUUGGACGAUGGGCGCAAGCCUGAUCACGCCGUGCCGGGUGAGUGAUGCAGCCCUUAGGGUUGUAAAGCUGUCUCACAGAUGAAGAUAAUGACGGUAGUCGGAGAAGAAGCACCGGCUAACUUCGUG